Molecule: long non-coding RNA, 360 nt
Organism: Bos taurus (domestic cattle)
Lineage: Eukaryota; Metazoa; Chordata; Mammalia; Artiodactyla; Bovidae
Source: Ensembl
GUGGAUGUCAACAGGAUGAGCCCCAGGGGAGGUGGUUGGUCCCCAAGGCCAGAGGCUGCCUGUCAGGAGGGUCUGCAGCACCCAAAUGCUGGGUUCAGCAUCCAGGUCGUGCCCCACAUCAUCCUUCCAGAAACUUGAGGGAAGACAUGCAUGAGAAGCCGCUUCCAAGUCUCAGAUGGGACCUGGAGCAAGUCUCCUCUGGCACCGUUGGGUCCUCUGAAGAGAGCUGGCAAGUUGAACAACCUAUGGGACAAGCGCGUCCGCUCAAAACAAAGCUGCAAAGAUCUCAUGUGCUGUCUCUCUCUUUUUCUGUUUUUCUUUCUUUUUUUUAAAAUUGAAAUAUAAUGUAUGCAUUUUAAA